RNAcentral lists this transfer RNA (75 nucleotides) under Oscillibacter valericigenes. RNAcentral's name for it is "tRNA-Asn". It matches the Rfam family "tRNA". From Rfam's summary of the family: Transfer RNA (tRNA) molecules are approximately 80 nucleotides in length. Their secondary structure includes four short double-helical elements and three loops (D, anti-codon, and T loops). The record is from RNAcentral. RNAcentral also lists the same sequence under 15 other names. Lineage: Bacteria; Bacillati; Bacillota; Clostridia; Eubacteriales; Oscillospiraceae.
UCCUCCUUAGCUCAAUGGUAGAGCACGCGGCUGUUAACCGCGGGGUUGUUGGUUCGAGCCCAACAGGGGGAGCCA